CCCAGACUCCUACGGGAGGCAGCAGUGGGGAAUAUUGCACAAUGGGGGGAACCCUGGUGCAGCGACGCCGCGUGGGUGAAGGAGUGCUUCGGCAUGUAAAGCCCUAUCGGCAGGGAAGAAGCAAGACGGUACCUGACUAAGAAGCCCCGGCUAACUACGUGCCAGCAGCCGCGGUAAUACGUAGGGGGCGAGCGUUAUCCGGAUUCACUGGGUGUAAAGGGAGCGUAGACGGCAGCGCAAGUCUGGAGUGAAAUGCCGGGGCCCAACCCCGGAACUGCUUUGGAAACUGUGCAGCUCGAGUGCAGGAGAGGUAAGCGGAAUUCCUAGUGUAGCGGUGAAAUGCGUAGAUAUUAGGAGGAACACCAGUGGCGAAGGCGGCUUACUGGACUGUAACUGACGUUGAGGCUCGAAAGCGUGGGGGGCAAACAGGAUUAGAUACCCGCGUACCG
This 449-nucleotide ribosomal RNA is filed under the name uncultured bacterium. RNAcentral describes it as "bacterial SSU rRNA". It matches the Rfam family "Bacterial small subunit ribosomal RNA", at positions 330 to 793 of the family's 1533-position model. The record is from RNAcentral.